Molecule: ribosomal RNA, 443 nt
Filed under: uncultured bacterium
Lineage: Bacteria
Description: partial 16S ribosomal RNA
Rfam family: Bacterial small subunit ribosomal RNA
Source: RNAcentral
GAUGAACGCUGGCGGCAUGCCUAACACAUGCAAGUCGAUCGGUAAGGCUCUUCGGAGUACACGAGAGGCGGACGGCUGAGUAACGCGUAGGAACACACCCUGCAGUGAGGGAUCAGACACCGAAAGGUGUUCUAAUACCGCAUACGGUCUUCGGAUUAAAGCAUUUAUGCGCUGAAGGAGUGGCCUGCGUCAUAUUAGAUAGUUGGUGAGGUAAUGGCUCACCAAGUCGAUGAUGUGUAGCUGGUCUGAGAGGAUGAUCAGCCAGACUGGAACUGAGACACGGUCCAGACUCCUACGGGAGGCAGCAGUGAGGAAUAUUUCACAAUGAGCGAAAGCUUGAUGGAGCAAUGCCGCGUGCAGGAUGAAGGCCCUCGGGUUGUAAACUGCUUUUAUAAGAGAAGAUUAUGACGGUAACUUAUGAAUAAGGGACGGCUAACUACGUG